Molecule: ribosomal RNA, 253 nt
Filed under: uncultured prokaryote
Description: partial 16S ribosomal RNA
Rfam family: Bacterial small subunit ribosomal RNA
Source: RNAcentral
ACAGAGGGGGCAAGCGUUAUUCGGAAUUAUUGGGCGUAAAGGGCGCGUAGGCGGUUUGUUAAGUCGGUUGUGAAAGCCCGGGGCUCAACCCCGGAGGGUCGGCCGAUACUGGCAGGCUAGAGUACAGAAGAGGUAGCUGGAAUUCCCGGUGUAGCGGUGAAAUGCGUAGAUAUCAGGAGGAACACCGGUGGCGAAGGCGGGUCUCUGGGCCGAUACUGACGCUGAGGAGCGAAAGCGUGGGGAGCGAACAGGA